UGGGGAAUUUUGGACAAUGGGCGAAAGCCUGAUCCAGCAAUGCCGCGUGCAGGAUGAAGGCCUUCGGGUUGUAAACUGCUUUUGUACGGAACGAAAAAGCUUCUCCUAAUACGAGAGGCCCAUGACGGUACCGUAAGAAUAAGCACCGGCUAACUACGUGCCAGCAGCCGCGGUAAUACGUAGGGUGCGAGCGUUAAUCGGAAUUACUGGGCGUAAAGCGUGCGCAGGCGUUUAUGUAAGACAGAUGUGAAAUCCCCGGGCUCAACCUGGGAACUGCAUUUGUGACUGCAUGGCUAGAGUACGGUAGAGGGGGAUGGAAUUCCGCGUGUAGCAGUGAAAUGCGUAGAUAUGCGGAGGAACACCGAUGGCGAAGGCAAUCCCCUGGACCUGUACUGACGCUCAUGCACGAAAGCGUGGGGAGCAAACA
RNAcentral lists this ribosomal RNA (427 nucleotides) under uncultured bacterium. RNAcentral's name for it is "partial 16S ribosomal RNA". It matches the Rfam family "Bacterial small subunit ribosomal RNA", at positions 355 to 774 of the family's 1533-position model. The record is from RNAcentral.